RNAcentral lists this ribosomal RNA (253 nucleotides) under uncultured bacterium. RNAcentral's name for it is "partial 16S ribosomal RNA". It matches the Rfam family "Bacterial small subunit ribosomal RNA", at positions 524 to 776 of the family's 1533-position model. The record is from RNAcentral.
UACGGAGGGUGCAAGCGUUAUCCGGAUUCACUGGGUUUAAAGGGUGCGUAGGUGGGUUGGUAAGUCAGUGGUGAAAUCUCCGGGCUUAACUCGGAAACUGCCGUUGAUACUAUCAAUCUUGAAUAUUGUGGAGGUAAGCGGAAUAUGUCAUGUAGCGGUGAAAUGCUUAGAUAUGACAUAGAACACCAAUUGCGAAGGCAGCUUACUACACAGUAAUUGACACUGAGGCACGAAAGCGUGGGGAGCGAACAGG